UGACGUACCCUUUGGGUCAAAAGUACAGAUACGCCAACAGCUUAAAAUAGAUAUCACAGCGGUGACAAAAUUGUUACCGCGGUGACAUUUUUGUCACUGCGGUAAUAAAUUUAUCACUGCGGUGAUAUAUUUGUAACUGUUGUGAUACUUUGUUUGACCCAAACAGUUUGAUAAGAGCUAAAUCGAACUAACCAAUGAAACAACGUCUUGCAAAACGGCAAAUCGGCGAAUAUUUACUGCGAAGUUUUCAAGAUGUCUGCCUCCAUGGAUACUGUAAACAACUUUUCAGAUCAUGAGUUUGGUAAUUUUAAUCUUCGGACACAAGGAUGACGACAAUUAAGAGUCCAUCAAUGGUUGUGAAAUCAAGGAUAUUCUAUUGGAAGGAAAGACAUGAAUGCAUUCAAGUUUCCUGUGAGCAAUAUGAUUUCCUGACUUUGCCUUACAGUAUAAAACAAGAGAGUUAAACACUUGAAACUUGAAAAGAUGUGGUCCUAGAACCUGAAAUGGCAACUCCAGCUCUCUAUAAAAGCAUCAUCUGGAAUCCAACUAUGUACAAUCAAAAAAUUAAUGUGUGUCUUAAUUUUGUCUUUUUAGAGCCCUGACGGGUCUUAAGAUAUCAGAUGUUUUAAAAUUCAUUGUGUUUGUGCUGCAAGUUUUAUGAACUGGUUAUAAAGCUUAUGCAUGCAGAACCGUUUACUGCCUGGUUAGCUGCAGUAGAGCACUCAUAGGAAUUGGGAGAUCUGUGGAAUCCCUUUGUGGCUUGCAAAUUUCAACCUGUUUUCAAAAAUUGCUUAGUUGGUCAGUGUGUUAAUAUUUCAAUUUUCAGGUCUGGUAAAGAAAGUUAUUUAAAGGCAGUGUGCAAGGUUUUCCUUAAUAAUAGCAUGUACACAGGAAAAAAAAGCUUAAUAUUAGAUAUUUUGUUAUAAUCAGUUUGUGGUCCGUCCAUAGCUAAACAUGAACAUAGAUAUUUUUUACUUUUAUUAGUACUAUAUACAUAUUAUAAAUAAAAGGUUGUAUCUUGCAUCUUCUAAUCCUUAAAGUGGCAUGGUGGCCUAGUGUGUGUGUUGUUUAUCUAUGAAAUUUAUACAUGUAUACUAAUAUCUAGGCUACAUUAUGAUGUACUUCUCAAAGAACAGUAUGUUUAAAAUGCAGGUUUAUACUAAUUUAAAUACAGGUACAAAUUAAUCCUGUGUUGUAUAUAGCAGAAUGUCCCUUAUUUUCACUGUUAUCUUUUAAAACUGUUCAGGUACACUUCACCUGCAUAAAACUAGUUCAGAUAUAUAUGUCCCAUAGAGCAAAACAAUUGUCACUAAAUCAUUGUAUAAUCGUUAUUGGCAGUUCACUUCUGUAGUUUCUGAAAUGAAAAAUUGUUGUUACCUACCUUCACUCUUAAUUCAGUUUUAGUGGAAUGCUUAAUUUCAUUUUUUUUUCUUUAUUAGUUGUAAGUAGUGGGCUCUGUGUUCUGAUUAGUUCCUAAAUUGAACACAUGUUUAAACGUCGGUUGUUAAAUUGUAUAACAUGUUAAUGCAGAAUUGUACCAUAACAUGAAAUUGUAUUUUUUGCUUUGUACAUUGUUUGAAAUGUUACCAUCUUGUUUCUAAUAAAUGUUUUUUAUAAUUCACCAUCUAGUCCUAUUUGCAAAAAAGUGAACCAUUUAAAUAUUGUAUUUAAAGUAUACACCCGUUAGCCUUACUUAAGUCGUGAACAUUUCGUAGGCAUUUGUUAUCCCCAGUAAUAGGCGGAGGGAUAUUGUUUUGGCGCUGUUUGUCCGUCCUUCCGUCCGUCCGGCACUUUUGUGUCCAGAGCCAUAUCUUGUUAGUGCUUUAGCGGAUUUCAUUGAAACUUGGUAUGAGUAUAUUAUAUGGAUAAGAGGAUGAUGUACACUUUGUAUCUUGAAAAAAAUGCUUUUUAAUAUAAUCUUAGAGCUUUAUCUUCACUAACACAUGAGCCAGAGCCAUGAAACUUGCCAUAGUUGUUCUCAAUCAUCUAGGGGUGCUUCACAUUCAACAUCCAUAAUUCUAGGGGCUAAGGUCAUGGCCCUUUGUAUCUUGAAAAAAAUGCUUUUUGAUAGAAGCUUAGAGCUUUAUCUUCAUUAACACAUGAGCCAGAGCCAUGCAACUUUCUAUAGUUAUUCCAAUCAUCUGGGGUUGUUUCACAUUCAACACCCAUAAUCCUAGGGGCUAAGGUCAAGGUCACACAUUGAGGUCAAAGGUCACAAAUUUGAGGAAUUAUUCAUUAAUUGGUAAUUCCUUUACUAUGCAUCAAGGAAUUCUGUUAUAACUGUCACAAUUGUUCUCAAUUAUCUAGCUGAGUUUCAAAUAUAAGAUCCAGGUUGCUAGGGUCAUGGUCAAAGUCACACACAAAGGUCAAAAUCACACAUUUUGAUCAUAUAUAUAU
Dreissena polymorpha is the source of this 2397-nucleotide long non-coding RNA. RefSeq lists it as uncharacterized. NCBI's taxonomy places the organism in Eukaryota, Metazoa, Mollusca, Bivalvia, Myida, Dreissenidae. The transcript has 3 exons. The record is from RefSeq and is a predicted model, not a curated record.